UCUUAUUAGAAAAAAAGAGAGAAUGCGAUGUGUUCGAUAAGGGAUAAAAAAAAAGAAAAAAGGAGACACGUUAUAGAAACUUUGGCAGUGCGUCAAGAUGAACGUUUCCAAAACGUGGAGAUUGACUAAUCUUCGAUGACGAUCCUUCGAUUGAACUAAAUAACAAAUAUAUAUAUAUGUAUGUAUAUAUAUGUGGUAUAAAAAAAAAAUUGGGACGAAACGUAACGCAGACUUAACGAUACCACUUUACACGUAUAAUGAAUGAGCUUAAAUGAGCUUAAAAAUUAUAUUAGCCAGUGGAGAAAAAUUUUGAGAAAUCAAAAAAAUUUAACUUUGGUUUCCUUUGGUCAAAACUUAUUCUAACAAUAUCAUAUAAUCAUAUAUUUCAGAAUCGAUAAAAGUUUUAAAUUCCAAAAGUCGAAAGUAAGUAACUUGUACAAUAUUUAUAAUAGCAUAAAAUAGAGGACAGAAGGUUAAAUCUUUUCUUUAUUACCAAUCGAACCUCCGUUACUCUUUACAAUUAUUCAUACAAUUAGAGAGUUCGUUUUUAUGCAUAACAGUUCUUUCUCUCCUCCUUUAUUUCUCUCUAUCUCUCUCUCUUCCUCUUUAUUUUCUUUCGCUUCUCUGUCAUCAUUUCUUCGAUUACACAAUCUUCUUCCAUUCACGCAAUGCCUUUCUUUUUUUUUCUUUUCUUCUUCUUUUUUUUUUUUUUAAUUAUCAUUCUUACCAUUGUUAUUAAUAUUUCUCUCUCGCUUAUUCUUUAACGCUUUAACGAGUGAAAUGAUCCUUUCGUUCGAUGAUCUUUCGAGACAGAAAUAUCCGAUUGAUGCAUCUUGUUUGCUCCAUCUCGUUUGUCGUUUUCGUUAAUUAUAUACACAACGUAUGUACGCGACGUGCAAUUGUACUAACAGGCCAUGAUGCAGUCAUCGACGAAGUUAAUCGAUGAGUACGUUGCCAUCGAUCGAACUGCAAACGAAUUACGAUUCCACGACACGAAUAUAGACCGUGUGUUUCGUAUACGGAGAGGCUCACUGGUACAAAUGAAUAUUCUCUAAGACAGAGACAGAGACAGAGACAGAGACAGAGACAGAGACAGAGACAGAAAGAGAGAGAAAGAGACGAAUUUUGCUACUUUUCACUUUUCUUCUCGUUUUGUACAUGUGCUAUUAUACACGUAGCAAUAGAAUCUAGAAGAAUCUCCGAUACGAAAGAUUUUAAAACUUAACUGCUUUUUGCUUCUCAAGUAGAGUCCUAUUUUUUUUCUUUUUUUUAAAUUCUAUUUACAUGAUUCACUCUGUACAUACGUAAGAAUACAAAAUGCCUCUCCCCAAAAACUGACGAUGAUUCAACAAGAAAAGAAUAAUCGAAUUUUUCGAUACGGUCGCCAUCUAUUCAUCGAUCAUCCGAGGUUGCGGUUACAUAAUCGAAAAACCUUUACAUACACGCUUACAUAGAAGGGGGCGCUUUCGCGCGACGGAAAUAACAAAAGCGUUUGGAAAGUUUAGACGUCUCAAGUGUACAAGUGUUUCGUGCGUGUUCCGGUGUCGAGAAAACUGUAUUUAAUAUCUAAAAUAGAAGAGAAUGAAAAUUUGGGGAAUAUCGACGAGAAACACGUGAAUCAUUUUUAUCAGUACCAGAUAACAAAUGGUGGUCAGAUUUCAAGUGAAUGCAAGUAUAUUCCGGUAAAUAAUAUUUCAAUCCUCUCGGGAUCGAUUUAUCAUUUGAAAAAUUAUCGGUAAAAGAAAAACAUUUACUCGCCUUCAUGCACACAAUCUAUUUGGUUAAUUUCUAGAAAUUUUUCCCUCGCGUUGUUAAUACGUUGUUACGUGCGCAUAGUUGUAUUCGGAUCAAGGACUCUAAAAGUUUUUCACGAUGAAGGUUAAGGUAAGGAUGAGACACAGAAAACGAACGAAACGAGAAAUAUAUUAAUGUGAAGUAGUUAACCGUUAAAUCGAUAUAUCGUUUUUACCGAACAAGACCUUUCAAUCAUAAUGCGAAUUUCACGAAACUUAAAAAAGUCAACAAUGCGUCAACGUGUAUGCGAGCUGCUUUAUACAAGCGCUGUACAAGUGUAUAAUCACGGUCGAUUGUCAUGGAGAGAAAUUACGUACUUAGUUUCUUCUUUCUUUCUUUUCUCUCUCUCUGUUCACGCCUCUUCGCGGUCAACUUAUAUUAAUCAUUUUCAUCCGCGUACGCUUUCGCCGCAUAUAUCGAAGAUACGAUGAACGAAGAGAGAGAAAAAAAAAGUUUCUGGGAUGUUACUGGGACGAAAUGAGAAGAAAGAAGAGGGGGAAAAGGAUGGAAGAAGGGGAACGCGAAACAAGGGGGUUCAUUAUAUGCCUCCCGGUGUCGCAGCACUUCCAUUGUUUCUUCUCAGGGACGUGCUGUGUGUGACACACGGGGAUUCGCUCGACUACCACCUUUCUUUCUCUCUCUCUCUCUCAAAUUUUUCCUUUUUUUUUUUAUUUUUGAACAACUAUCAUUACGAGUACCACCUUUUCUCUCGAACAGAUUUUUGAGCGCUUUCUUUUUUUUUUUUCACGAAUUGUAACGAUGUUAACGAUGAAAAGAAAACGAAACCAAAUCUCUCUUUCUCUCUCUCUCUAACGCGAAUAUAAAACGCGAAGCCUUUGACAAUGCGAAUUUCAUCUGGAGCGCGGACGGACAACGGGCAUUGAACGAGAUCGCUUCAAGGUUGAUGAAUCAUCGCGAAACUUUAUCCAAUGCAAUAUUCUGAAAAAGGAACGAGAUCGUCGAACACCGAUAAUGUUAUUAUAAAUUUCUCAAUAAGAAUGAUCGCCCAUUGAAACGCGUAACCCGAUCGUUCCGCUAAGAUGAUUAUUAUUAUUAUUUAUUUAUUUAUUUUUUUUGGAACGUUAUGCUUCGCGAGAUCAAUUCGGUAUCACUAUACUUUCCACUUGGAUCGUGACGAUUUAUUCGAGAAUUUAAUAUUUUUAAUAAAAAUUAUUUCAACGUCGAGAGAUCGUUCAAAGUUAAUUUGAAAAUCGGUUGUCGGAAGAGGAGGGGGGAGGAAAAAAAGUUAACGAUUGAUAAAAUUUGUCGAUUCAUUCUGUGAAUUAGUAUUUUAAAUUAUAAUUUAAAUACCAUAUGCGCAUUUUUCUUCUCCAAUAUUUUUACGAGAAAUUUACAAACACGAUUAUUUCUUUUUUUUUACAAGGGUAAUUUACAAUAACAAAGACAAUUUUCUUCAUUUUUUCUCAUCAUAUUUCCUUUAAUCUCAAGAAUUUUUUCUUUUUUUUUGUUUUUUUUUUCAAUACUUUAAUGUUAUAAAAAUGGUUACAAAUUAAAAAGUAAAUCGCUCGAAGUGUCCGCUCUUCUUUUUUUUUUUUUUUGUACAAAGAAAGAUAAGAAAAAGUAUAACAACUAGAUCGAUCGUGAACGAAUCCUCUGGCGAUUUAAGAUUCUUUCUUCGAAAUGGCGGCCAUGAUGAUUCUUCGGAGGAUGAUUCUUCAUCGAAGGAUGCACAGGUACUUUGUCUGGUGAUGCGCUCGAAUAAAUAUUAAGCUAUUUACAAAGCGAUGAACAAUAUUGCUCCUCGUAUUAUAUCGGCAGAUUUUUUCUCUCUAAAAAUGAUUUAUCGUGAUUUAAUGAAACAAUUUAAUGAAACAUUGCCUCGAAAUAUAUCUAUCGACGAAUUCGUAAAGAAAAAAAUUUUCUCAAAAAAGGAUAUUUUUAAAUAUAUCGGAACGAAAAAAAAAUAAAAAAUAAAAAAUAUACGCGUAUAUCAAAUAUGCAAAUAUGAGAAUGUAUUUAUGAUGAUGCGAGUCUCGGUUUAUAAAUUAAAAAAUAAAAAAAAAGGAGGCAGAAAAUAAAAUAAAAUAAAAUAAAAUAAUAUAAAAAAAAAAGAGAAAUAAAGAAUAGGAUGAACAGAUAAGGUGACGGAUUAUUUAAAAUUAAAUAAAAUAAUUUUCAAUGCGAAGCAACAGUUUCCAAGAAUGAUCGUCCCUCACCGUGAAAACUAGUUGUAUAUAAUUUUCCUGGCUCUCAAGGAGUGAGAUACAAAAAAAAAUUGCUCAAUACUUAUGCAUACAUAAUAAUCAUGCGCAUUUCGAGAACAUCGCUAUAUACAUUAUUAUUACAUCAUCAUCAUCAUCAUCAUCAUAAUCAUCUAUUUAAUACAUCCGAUAGAUGAACACGGGGCGUCAAUAAUAUAACAUCGAUAAUAAAGUAUAAAACCGCGAGACAUUUAUCUAACGUCUUUAAUUCGUAGCGUGAGGCGAGAAAUUCGAACGCUGCUCUCAGCCCGAUCUCAGGAUCCCCCGCCGAUUCAAUGGGGAGGAAUCUGAAUCGAUUUCAGUCGUUUACACGAGACAUCACGUAUCAUAUGUACAUUAAAAAAAAUAUCACGAUACAUGAACGCGAGAUAAUCAUGGAUGACAUCGUGGUCAAUCGUAAAAAAAAAAAAAAAAAAAAGAAA
Molecule: long non-coding RNA, 4438 nt
Organism: Apis cerana (Asiatic honeybee)
Lineage: Eukaryota; Metazoa; Arthropoda; Insecta; Hymenoptera; Apidae
Source: RefSeq, a predicted model, not a curated record